This 333-nucleotide ribosomal RNA is filed under the name uncultured bacterium. RNAcentral's name for it is "bacterial SSU rRNA". It matches the Rfam family "Bacterial small subunit ribosomal RNA", at positions 568 to 898 of the family's 1533-position model. The record is from RNAcentral.
CGCGUAGGCGGCUGACUAAGCCGCGUGUGAAAGCCCGGGGCUCAACCCCGGAACGGCACGCGGGACUGGUCGGCUGGAGCAUGGUAGAGGCGAGUGGAAUUCCUGGUGUAGCGGUGGAAUGCGUAGAGAUCAGGAAGAACACCGGUGGCGAAGGCGGCUCGCUGGGCCAUUGCUGACGCUGAGGCGCGAAAGCGUGGGGAGCAAACAGGAUUAGAUACCCUGGUAGUCCACGCCGUAAACGAUGGGCACUAGGCGUCGGGGGGAGCGACCCUCCCGGUGCCGUCGCUAACGCAAUGAGUGCCCCGCCUGGGGGAGUACGGCCGCAAGGUUGAA